CGGGAGGCAGCAGUGGGGAAUAUUGCACAAUGGGCGCAAGCCUGAUGCAGCCAUGCCGCGUGUGUGAAGAAGGCCUUCGGGUUGUAAAGCACUUUUGUCAGGGAAGAAAUCGUUCGGGCUAAUACCUCGGGCAGUUGACGGUACCUGAAGAAUAAGCACCGGCUAACUACGUGCCAGCAGCCGCGGUAAUACGUAGGGUGCAAGCGUUAAUCGGAAUUACUGGGCGUAAAGCGCGCGUAGGUGGUUUAUUAAGUUGGGUGUGAAAGCCCCGGGCUCAACCUGGGAACUGCAUUUGUGACUGCAUGGCUUGAGUACGGCAGAGGGGGAUGGAAUUCCGCGUGUAGCAGUGAAAUGCGUAGAUAUGCGGAGGAACACCGAUGGCGAAGGCAGCCCCCUGGGCCAUGACUGACACUCAUGCACGAAAGCGUGGGGAGCAAACAGGAUUAGAUACCCUGGUAGUCCACACCGUAAACGAUGAAUGCCAGUCGUCGGAUAGUAUACUAUUCGGUGACACACCUAACGGAUUAAGCAUUCCGCCUGGGGAGUACGGUCGCAAGAUUAAAACUCAAAUAAAUUGACGGGGACCCGCACAAGCAGUGGAGCAUGUGGUUUAA
This 614-nucleotide ribosomal RNA is filed under the name Alexandrium tamarense. Its description in RNAcentral is "partial Bacterial small subunit ribosomal RNA". It matches the Rfam family "Bacterial small subunit ribosomal RNA", at positions 342 to 949 of the family's 1533-position model. The record is from RNAcentral. Lineage: Eukaryota; Dinophyceae; Gonyaulacales; Pyrocystaceae.